RNAcentral lists this small RNA (106 nucleotides) under Fenollaria massiliensis. RNAcentral describes it as "Ribosomal protein L10 leader". It matches the Rfam family "Ribosomal protein L10 leader". From Rfam's summary of the family: This family is a putative r-protein leader autoregulatory structure found in B. subtilis and other low-GC Gram-positive bacteria. It is located in the 5' untranslated regions of mRNAs encoding ribosomal proteins L10 and L12 (rplJ-rplL). A Rho-independent transcription terminator structure that is probably involved in regulation is included at the 3' end. Lineage: Bacteria; Bacillati; Bacillota; Clostridia; Eubacteriales. The record is from RNAcentral.
AUAGGAAUAUAUAAACCGUAGACAGUAGGUGCAUUAAGCUUAAUUUCCUACCGAGGAUAGAUAGCCAGUAUCAACCCCCUUAUGUCUAUAAGAGGGUUUUUUAUUG